GCCUACGGCCAUACCAACCUGGCUAUGCCCGAUCUCGUCUGAUCUCGGAAGCUAAGCAGGUUUGGGCCUGGUUAGUACUUGGAUGGGAGACCGCCUGGGAAUACCAGGUGCUGUAAGCU
Molecule: ribosomal RNA, 119 nt
Filed under: Carassius auratus (goldfish)
Lineage: Eukaryota; Metazoa; Chordata; Actinopteri; Cypriniformes; Cyprinidae
Source: RNAcentral